This 497-nucleotide ribosomal RNA is filed under the name uncultured bacterium. RNAcentral's name for it is "partial 16S ribosomal RNA". It matches the Rfam family "Bacterial small subunit ribosomal RNA", at positions 28 to 507 of the family's 1533-position model. The record is from RNAcentral.
GACGAACGCUGGCGGCGUGCCUAAUACAUGCAAGUAGAACGCUGAAGAGAGGAGCUUGCUCUUCUUGGAUGAGUUGCGAACGGGUGAGUAACGCGUAGGUAACCUGCCUUGUAGCGGGGGAUAACUAUUGGAAACGAUAGCUAAUACCGCAUAACAAUGGAUGACACAUGUCAUUUAUUUGAAAGGGGCAAUUGUUCCACUACAAGAUGGACCUGCGUUGUAUUAGCUAGUAGGUGAGGUAAUGGCUCACCUAGGCGACGAUACAUAGCCGACCUGAGAGGGUGAUCGGCCACACUGGGACUGAGACACGGCCCAGACUCCUACGGGAGGCAGCAGUAGGGAAUCUUCGGCAAUGGGGGCAACCCUGACCGAGCAACGCCGCGUGAGUGAAGAAGGGUUUCGGAUCGUAAAGCUCUGUUGUAAGUCAAGAAUGGGUGUGAGAGUGGAAAGUUCACACUGUGACGGUAGCUUACCAGAAAGGGACGGCUAACUACGUG